Molecule: long non-coding RNA, 264 nt
Organism: Neltuma alba
Lineage: Eukaryota; Viridiplantae; Streptophyta; Magnoliopsida; Fabales; Fabaceae
Exons: 3
Source: RefSeq, a predicted model, not a curated record
UUGUCACCAGAUGUGGACUCCUUCGCUUCCUCUGCCUGGUGAAUCGUUCUUGCAAAACCGUUGUGGGAGCUUAAGUUUGCGGUCUCCGAUGCCGGCAACCGUUGGGUGAGGGUGGUGAUAGAUAUUGGUAGGACGCUCUCAUAUAACGGCAAGGAGUGCUUCUGGAGCAGAACCUGCAGUCUCAUUAGUGGCCCCCGGGAAGGCACACAGAUGUUUUCAUGAACAACGUCUUUGGUUCAAAGGUAAUUAUGGCUCAAUAGUGCA